GACGAACGCUGGCGGCGUGCCUAAUACAUGCAAGUAGAACGCACAGUUUAUACCGUAGCUUGCUACACCAUAGACUGUGAGUUGCGAACGGGUGAGUAACGCGUAGGUAACCUGCCUGGUAGCGGGGGAUAACUAUUGGAAACGAUAGUUAAUACCGCAUAAUAUUGAUUAUUGCAUGAUAAUUAAUUGAAAGGUGCAAUUGCACCACUACCAGAUGGACCUGCGUUGUAUUAGCUAGUAGGUGAGGUAACGGCUCACCUAGGCGACGAUACAUAGCCGACCUGAGAGGGUGAUCGGCCACACUGGGACUGAGACACGGCCCAGACUCCUACGGGAGGCAGCAGUAGGGAAUCUUCGGCAAUAGACGAAAGUCUGACCGAGCAACGCCGCGUGAGUGAAGAAGGUUUUCGGAUCGUAAAGCUCUGUUGUAAGAGAAGAACGGGUGUGAGAGUGGAAAGUUCACACUGUGACGGUAUCUUACCAGAAAGGGACGGCUAACUACGUG
RNAcentral lists this ribosomal RNA (505 nucleotides) under uncultured bacterium. RNAcentral's name for it is "partial 16S ribosomal RNA". It matches the Rfam family "Bacterial small subunit ribosomal RNA", at positions 28 to 507 of the family's 1533-position model. The record is from RNAcentral.